RNAcentral lists this ribosomal RNA (492 nucleotides) under uncultured bacterium. RNAcentral describes it as "partial 16S ribosomal RNA". It matches the Rfam family "Bacterial small subunit ribosomal RNA", at positions 29 to 507 of the family's 1533-position model. The record is from RNAcentral.
AGUGAACGCUGGCGGUAGGCCUAACACAUGCAAGUCGAACGGCAGCACAGUAAGAGCUUGCUCUUACGGGUGGCGAGUGGCGGACGAGUGAGGAAUACAUCGGAAUCUACUUUUUCGUGGGGGAUAACGUAGGGAAACUUACGCUAAUACCGCAUACGACCUACGGGUGAAAGCAGGGGAUCUUCGGACCUUGCGCGAUUGAAUGAGCCGAUGUCGGAUUAGCUAGUUGGCGGGGUAAAGGCCCACCAAGGCGACGAUCCGUAGCUGGUCUGAGAGGAUGAUCAGCCACACUGGAACUGAGACACGGUCCAGACUCCUACGGGAGGCAGCAGUGGGGAAUAUUGGACAAUGGGCGCAAGCCUGAUCCAGCCAUACCGCGUGGGUGAAGAAGGCCUUCGGGUCGUAAAGCCCUUUUGUUGGGAAAGAAAAGCAGCAGGUUAAUACCCCGCUGUUCUGACGGUACCCAAAGAAUAAGCACCGGCUAACUUCGUG